Apiotrichum porosum is the source of this 97-nucleotide non-coding RNA. The record is from the annotation of a RefSeq genome assembly. NCBI's taxonomy places the organism in Eukaryota, Fungi, Basidiomycota, Tremellomycetes, Trichosporonales, Trichosporonaceae.
ACUGGUGUGUCGGAGUGGUUAACGAGUUUGACUUGAAUGGACUCUAUUCAUCUAUCAAAUGCCGAGAGGCGCGCAGGUUCAAAUCCUGUCACCAGUG